AAAAGAACUCUGAAGAGAGAGUUAAAUAGUACGUGAAACUGAAUAAGUGGAAGCGUAUAGAGUUGUCGAAAGAUGGUAAUAAUAAGUUGUGUAGUGCUGUAACGGUUUUAUGGAUGUUUCCGUAAGGUUCAUCUGUGAGAUGCAGUUUGGUACUGUGCAAUGCACUUGUUGCCAUUGUGCUGAUACAACUGAUCACUGGUUUCGAGAUAGUAAAAGAGGGCAUAUCUUCGGAUGUGUAUCCUACUACUAUGUAGAAAUUUUGUGGUUAGUUGUUGCUAAGGUUAUAUCGGACGGUACAAGUUGUGUGGUCCUUAAAAGUUAAUGCUUGCAUUGGCUUUUUUGGGUCAUGUUGUCUUGUGCUUUACGUAAGGCUUUAUAUCAGUAUAAAAGACAAUCACCUAUAUGUCCCGUCUUGAAACACGGACCAAGGAGUUUAUCGUAUAUGCGAGUCAUUGGGUGUUGAAAACUCAUUGGCGUAAUGAAAGUAAAGUAGCCUUUAUGGUUAUGAUAUGUGACUGUUGUCUUUUACGGACAACAGGUAGCAUAGUCCCAUCCAAUUUGCUUGCAAAUGGGUGGAGAUAGAGCAUAUGCGAUGAGACCCGAAAGAUGGUGAACUAUGCCUGAGCAGGAUGAAGUCAGAGGAAACUCUGAUGGAAGUCCGAAGCGGUUCUGACGUGCAAAUCGAUCGUCUGACUUGGGUAUAGGGGCRAAAGACUAAUCGAACCAUC
This 728-nucleotide ribosomal RNA is filed under the name Macrolaimus canadensis. RNAcentral describes it as "partial large subunit ribosomal RNA". Lineage: Eukaryota; Metazoa; Nematoda; Chromadorea; Rhabditida; Chambersiellidae. The record is from RNAcentral.